RNA transcript from Oryza brachyantha (malo sina), 1967 nucleotides. It is a transcript of the gene named protein NRT1/ PTR FAMILY 3.1-like, with no coding region annotated. The transcript has 6 exons. NCBI's taxonomy places the organism in Eukaryota, Viridiplantae, Streptophyta, Magnoliopsida, Poales, Poaceae. The record is from RefSeq and is a predicted model, not a curated record.
AUGGAAUCUAAGUCCCUAGGUUUAUCAAUCUAAAAGAAAAUACUAAAAGCCCUGACGUUAGAGAUUUGUACCCAUGAGUUCGGAGGUAUAGAGCUCCAUGAAGCUAUGGGAGGAUUCGCAUCGUCUGCAAUGGCGGCUGCGAGGGUGGCCGAAGAAGAUGGGUCGCCGAAGAAGACGAAGCAGGGUGGCUUCAAGACGUUGCCAUUCAUACUAGCGAACGAAGUGUGCGACAGGUUCGCCACGGCCGGCUUCAACGCGAACAUGAUCACGUACCUGACGCAGCAGCUGCACCUGCCGCUGGUGGAGGCCUCGAACCUCCUCACCAACUUCAACGGCACGGCGGCGUUCACCCCGGUGUUGGGGGCGGUCGUCGCCGACUCCUUCGCGGGACGCUUCUGGACCAUCGCCGGCGGCGGCGUGCUGUACCAGAUCGGCAUGCUCGGCCUCGUCGUGUCCGCGCUCGUCCCUGCCCUCCGCCCCGCUCCGUGCGGCGCCGGCGCGGCUGCCGCCCCGUGCCAGCGCGCGGACGGCGGGCAGCUCGCCAUGCUCUACCUGUCGCUGCUCUGCACCGCGCUCGGCUCCGGCGGCAUCCGGCCGUGCGUGGUGGCGUUCGGCGCCGACCAGUUCGGCCUGGGAGGGAGGCGCCCCGGCGGCGAGCAGAAGUGGAGCUACUUCAACCUCUACUUCUUCAGCAUGGGGCUCGCCGUGCUGCUCGCGCUGACGGUGGUGGUGUACAUCCAGGAGACCGUGGGUUGGGGCUGGGGGUUUGGGAUCCCGGCCAUCGCCAUGUUCAUCUCCGUGCUGUCCUUCGUCGUCGGGUACCCACUCUACGUGAAGGUGAAGCCCGAAGGGAGCCCCUUCAAGAGGCUGCUGCAGGUCGUCGUCGCCGCGUUGAAGAAGUUCAAGGAGCCCGUGCCGGAGGACGCCGGCAUGCUCUACCACAACAAGGAACUGGACGCCGCCAACGCCACCGACGGGAGGCUCCUCCACUCCGACCAGCUCAGAUUCUUGGAUCGAGCGGCGAUCGUGACGCCGGGGGACAUCUCCGGCUCCGGCGAGCCGAACCUGUGGCGGCUGUCGACGGUGCACCGCGUGGAGGAACUCAAGUCCAUCGUCCGCAUGCUGCCGCUGUGGGCGGCCAGCAUCACGGCCGUCGCCGCCGGGUCGCACAACUUCACAUUCGCCAUCCAGCAGGCGCGCACCAUGGACCGCCACCUCACGCCACGCUUCCAGAUCCCGCCGGCGACCAUGAUCAUCUUCACCACGCUGACCAUGCUCGUCAGCCUCGCGCUCUACGACCGCGUUUUCGUCCCCGUCGCGCGCCGCUACACAGGCCGGAAGUCUGGCAUCACCUACUUCCAGCGCAUGGGCGCCGGCUUCGCGGUCGCCACCCUGGGCGUCCUUGCGGGCGCGCUCGUCGAGGCCAAGCGGCGCGCUGCGGCGGCCGAGCACGGUCUGCUGGACAUCCCGAGCGCCGUCGUGCCGGUCAGCGUGUUUUGGCUGGUGCCGCAGUACGCGCUCCACGGCGUGGGCGACGCGCUCGCGACGGUGGGACACAUGGAGUUCCUCUACGACCAGUCGCCGGAGAGCAUGCGCAGCUCGGCGGCGGCGCUGUUCUGGGUCGCCGGCUCCCUCGGGAACUACCUGGGCACGUUGCUGGUCACGUUGGUGCAGAGCGCCAGCAGAGGGGAGUGGCUCCAGGACAACAUCAACAGGGGGAGGCUGGACUACUACUACUGGCUCGUCACCUUCCUCUUGGUGCUCAACCUUGCCUACUACGUUGUUUGCUUCCAUUUUUACACCUUGAAAACGUUCGAGGUGGACGCUGGAGACGAGGCGCAACGGCAGCGAGAUGCUGCCGAGAGUGUAGAAGCGGAGAGUGAGCUCUCUGCUCGCCAUGUUGAUGUUGGGGUGUCCGGAAAUGGUGGUGUAAAGCUCUAAGCUAGUGUAAAUUUGUAAUGAAUUGG